Molecule: long non-coding RNA, 1825 nt
Filed under: Mus musculus (house mouse)
Lineage: Eukaryota; Metazoa; Chordata; Mammalia; Rodentia; Muridae
Description: long non-coding RNA chr6:62053069-62054894
Source: RNAcentral
GUCCUUUCAGCAAUAUCUUGCUAGUGUAUGCAAUGGUGUCAGUGUUUGGAGGCUGAUUAUGGGAUGGAUCCCCGGGUAUGGCAGUCUCUAGAUGGCCCAUCCUGUCCUUGUUCUUAAUAGCUGAAUAGUAUUUCAUUGUGUAAAUGAACUACAUUUUCUGUAUUCAUUCUUCAGUUGAGGGAAAUCUGGGUUGAUUCUGGUUUCUGGCUAUUAUAAAUAAGGCUGCUAUGGACAAGCUGGAGCAUAUGUCCUUGUGGUAUGGUAGGCCAUCUUUGGUUAUAUGCCCAGAAGCUAUAUAGCUGGGUCUUCAAGUCGAACUAUUUCCAGUUUUCUGAGGAACUGCUAGGUUGAUUUCCAGAGUGGAUUUUUUGAUUUGCAAUCCCACCCACAAUAGAACUGUUCUCCUUGCUCCACAUCCUUGCCAGCAUGUGCUAUUUUGUGAGUUUCUGAUCUUACACAUUCUGACUGGUGUAAGAUGGAAUGUCAGAGAUAUUUUGAUUUACAUUUCCCUAUGAUUAUGAACUUAGAACUUUUCUUUAAGUGCUUCUUGGUCAUUUGAGAUUCCUUUGUUAAGAAUUCUGUUUAGCUCUGUACCCCAUUUGUAAUCGGGUUAUUUGGCUUAUUUUAUUUUAUUUUUAUUUUAUUUUUUGAGUCUAACUUAUUUAAUUAUUUAUAUACUUUGGAUAUUAGCCCUCUAACAGAUGCAUGGUUAGUGAAGAUCUUUUCGCAAUCUGUAGGUUGCUAUUCUGUCCUAUUAACAGUAUCCUUUGCCUUACAGAAAGAACCUUUUCAGUUUCAAAAGGUUCCAUUUAUCAAUUGUUGAUCUUAGAUCCUGAGUCACUGGUGUUCUGUUCAGGAAAAUUUCACCUGUGCCAAUGUGUUUGGGGCUAUUUCUCACUUUCUCUUCUAUUAGAUUCAGUGUAUCUGGUUUUAUGUGAAUGUCUUUGAUUCACUUGGACUUGAGCUACAUGCAGGGUGAUAAAUAUGGAUCAAUUUGCAUUUUUCUGCACGUAUACUGUCAGUUAGGCCAGCACCAUUUGUUGAAGAUGCUUUCUUUUCUCCAGUGUAUGGUUUGGGUUCUUUUAUAAAGGUCAAGGUCCAAUAGAUGAGUGGGUUUAUUUAUGGCUCUUUGAUUCUAUUCCAUUGAUCAAACCAUCUGUCUCUGUACCAAUACAAAACAUUUGAAAGUGAUGUGGUCUAUCUUUGUAUGUGCCUUUGAAAUGACUGUUCAGAGAUGGUUUUGGGUUUUGUGCAAUGUCUUUCAGAUUCUGGUCCUUACCUUUUAGUUUCAAACAAUGAGGUUUGCAAGUAAAACUCUCCUUUCAAGGGCCACUCUGUUCAGCAAGGAAAACUGAUGAAUGUCUGAUAUUUUCAUAUCAAACACAUGGAGGAUAUGGGAUAGUGCUUUCAUCCCAAGAAAACUUGAAAGGCCUGGAGAUGCAAUAUGUCUUAGGUCUAGAAAGGCUUGCUGUUUAGUUGGAUGUAAAGUGCUAAGACUGCAUCACAGAUACUAAUUAGAAGACUGAGGAUUUUAAGAAUUUGGAGCAUCAUAAAUGGGAAAAUCUGAGGUAAUUAAUGAACCAAAUAUAUAAGAUUAUAAUGAAUAAAUCAUAUUAACUUGCACAUGUUUUAGUGUUUGGUGAUAAAAUUAAUUCCAAGAACUACUUAGUGUCUAGAAAUGAAAAUAUUGGAUAUUUUUUGCAUCAAAAACUAAGUACAAAUAAAAUAUUUAAAGCACUUCAAAUAAUCUUUACAUAAUUCCUUCCCUCAGCAAAUGUUUAUGCAUUUUCUAGGUGGGAAUUAUCUUAAUUCCUACUUAUAUCAG